CAAUAGCGUAUAUUAAAGUUGUUGCAGUUAAAAAGCUCGUAGUUGAAUUUCUGGUGGGCGCGCCGGUCUUCCAAGUGUUGUACUGGGCGCAGUCCGCCAUCCUUGUGGAGAGGGCUCGCAUUGAGUUGCGUGUCGGAUCUGCAUCAUUUACUGUGAAAAAAUUAGAGUGUUUAAAGCAGGCUGUCGCUUGAAUACAUUAGCAUGGAAUAAUAAGAUAGGACUUCGGUCUAUUUUGUUGGUUGCGAACCGAGGUAAUGAUUAAUAGGGAUAGUUGGGGGUAUUCAUAUUUAAUUGUCAGAGGUGAAAUUCUUGGAUUUAUGAAAGAUGAACAACUGCGAAAGCAUUUACCAAGGAUGUUUUCAUUAA
Molecule: ribosomal RNA, 366 nt
Filed under: uncultured eukaryote
Lineage: Eukaryota
Description: partial 18S ribosomal RNA
Rfam family: Eukaryotic small subunit ribosomal RNA
Source: RNAcentral